GGGAACGGCGCAGUGUGUGUCAUUUCCCGAUAAGCCCGGUGAUUUUGCUCGAAUGGGGAAGAAGAACCCUAUGUUAGUUCUCUCCUUAGGGCUCUUUUGAAACUCUCUCUCUCUCCCUCUCCAAUUCCCUUACAUUCCCCCACAUCACCGGAUUUUCCUUUCACUUUCUCACCGACCAAACAAACGAACCAGCCCUAUUCCUCUCUCUCUCUCUCUCUCUCUCUCUCUCUCUCUCUCUCUCUCUAUAUAUAUAUAUAUAUAAAAUAUAUGUCUGUCCUCUUCGACCAGUCCCGUACUUCUGUACUGGAUAAAAAACUACGAGUGAACUAAAAGUGACGGGAAAGAACUGAAACAAAGAAACAAUUAUUGGAAACUCGAACUGCACCAAGUCCGCCCCCUUGACGGGUGUUCCGGGAACACAGAGCUUCCAAUUAGAAAGGUUGUGAUUCAAGGAGCUUUAGAACCACAGAUCUGCUGUGAGCUCUGGGUGCUUAUACAAAUUGUAAAUCAAACGAAGUUUCUCAAUAACUAUAACAAAAACAAAGCCGAGGAACUGAGAGCUUAACACCUGUCAGACUCCGACCAAUCUUCAAAGGGGGCUGUGAGGAGGCUGAGGCUCUGAGGCCGAUUCAGGCUUUGCUUUUGAAAGGCGGUCUCUGGUGUGGUCUGCGACUGCAAAAAGCUUAAGCAAGAGCUACUGCUAGCCUUCAAUGACUUGGACGGUGAUAUAUCGAUCGGAAGUGUAAAAAAAUGCCUUUUUAAUCACUAAACAGCCAAAGGUACUCUCUGAAUUAUCGUCAUCAAUAUGCAUAGGACACUGCAACCCCACUUGCACUCUCAUCACACCUCUUUCUCCCUCUAGGAUAAAAAAAAAUCAAUUUUCUCUCUCCAUCUCUCUAUUUAUAUUUCUCUCAAGAAGUAGCAGAAGGAUAAGAGCAAAAAAAAACGCAGUAGGUGUGUUCAAUUGUACGAGUUUCUGUUUGAGAAAGGCAUGAAACUGGUAUGGAGGUGGAGGAUAUUCAGCAGGCACCAGCUUGUAAGUUCCCAAGGAUUGGAAAUGGCAGAAAUGAUUCUGGAAAGAUAGGCUCUAAAGGGGUUCCUGACCACUACCCAGAUGAUGAAGAAGAUGGAGAACCCAACAGGGUUGGCCCAGGAAGCGAUGCCGGUGGGAAUGUCAACCGGCUUUGCGGCUGGAACCGUUCCCGCAUCAUUAGGGUUUCUCGGGCCUCGGGUGGCAAGGAUCGCCACAGCAAGGUCUGGACGUCCAAGGGUUUGAGAGACCGGAGGGUUAGACUAUCGGUUACCACGGCGAUUCAGUUCUAUGAUCUUCAAGAUCGGCUGGGUGUCGAUCAGCCGAGCAAAGCUGUGGAGUGGCUGAUCAAGGCGGCGGCCGAUGCUAUUGCUGAGCUUCCUUCACUAAAUGCUUCUUUUCCCGAUACCCCGAAGCAACUGAGCGACGAGAAGCGGGCGAACGGGGCUACGGAACAAGGGUUUGAUUCAGCUGAGGUUGAGUUAGAUGGUGACCCCAAUUUCCAAAACCAAAGCCAGCAUCUUUCUUUGUCUAAGUCCGCUUGUAGCAGCACCUCGGAGACGAGCAAGGGCUCCGGUUUGUCGCUCUCGCGGUCCGAAAUCAGGGUCAAGGCUCGUGAGCGGGCAAGGGAAAGAGCAGCUAAAGAGAAAGAGAAGGAAAAUGACUCCCGCAUUGCUCAAAACGUGAACCAGAUUUCCCAAAAUGCUUCGUUUACGGAGCUUCUCACCGGCGGAAUCAGCAGUGUUAACAACAAUGCAAAUUGUCCCACUCGCUCAGCGCAUCAAAACACCGGCGGUGAGACUAAUUUGUUUCAUAAGGCGGCGGCGAGGCAGUGGCCUUGUUCAACACCAAUGGACUACUUCGACUCGGGGCUUCUGGGGCCUUCUUCCCGAGCCCAUCACUCGUCUGGGUUUUCAGGUCAAAUCCAUCUGGGAAAUUCCCUUCCAAUGACGAUGUCGGUUCCGGCGUUCAAUUUAUCAGGGGAUAAUCAUUCAGAGCUGCAACAUUUCUCUUUCGUUCCUGACCAUCUCAUCCCGGUGGCUGCGGCGACAUCACAGCCCGGCGCUGGGCUGGUUGACUACAACCUCAAUUUCACCAUUUCAUCCGGCCAGCUUGCUGGUUACAAUAAUAGGGGGACCCUUCAGUCCAAUUCACCGUCUCUUUUGCCUCACCUCCAGAGGUUUUCUGCUAUAGACGGACCAAACGUGCCCUUCUUCAUGGCUUCGGCGCCUUCAGCGUCUUUAGCCAUGGAGAAUCACCAUCACCACCAUUUCUCACCUGGAAUAUUCGACGGUCGCUUGCAGCUCAGCUAUGGCGACGCUAGCAGACAUUCAGACCAGAAGGGAAAAGGAAAGAACUGAGUUCCUGUUAGAUCAACAAUCCUCUUUGCCCAUCUUCUUCCUGGUGUUUGCUUGUGUAUUGGCGAGGCCAUGUGUUAAGGCACUGAAUGAGUACUGGAGCAAGGGAAAUAAUUAUGAACUGAGGAGAUCAUCAUCAUCAUCUAAGCGCGCGCUGGCCAGGGGCCAGCAGGCAAGACGUACGUACUUGGGAGAGCAAAUGCACGUACGCCUUAGCUGCAUAGCUUAAUACCCCCACCAUGCAAUUACGUUUUACGCUUUUGAAAUUGUUUUUUUACGUCUGAUUUCAAGUCAUUCGGCUUGCCUGGAUAUAUUUAUAUAUGAUCAUCAUGAUCUAGUCGAGCCUAGCUCGCAAUGUUGUGUGUUUUUAAUUAAAUUUGACAUUACAAUUCAAUUGAAGUUAUUCUUUUCCA
Molecule: RNA transcript, 2801 nt
Organism: Carya illinoinensis
Lineage: Eukaryota; Viridiplantae; Streptophyta; Magnoliopsida; Fagales; Juglandaceae
Gene name: transcription factor TCP2-like
Exons: 6
Source: RefSeq, a predicted model, not a curated record